This 237-nucleotide long non-coding RNA is filed under the name Gossypium raimondii (Peruvian cotton). Its description in RNAcentral is "long non-coding RNA (GRAI_LNC008949)". Lineage: Eukaryota; Viridiplantae; Streptophyta; Magnoliopsida; Malvales; Malvaceae. The record is from RNAcentral.
GAUUUUGAAAAAGAUUAGCUUACUGUAAAGAAAUAGUCCAAAGGGCAAGCUGUUGUAGGUGAUGCUUUAAAUGAGUUGAGUCCUUAGAAGAGUUUUGGAAAGGAUGAGACCUUAAAAGGCUAAGAUUCCCAAAUGAGUGAACUGCGACUUUGGAAAAGCUGAGAACCAAGAAGAGAUUUAGAGAAAUUGAGGUCUUAAGAGAUGAAGAUGCUUGAAGUUGUGAGGUUGCAAGAGCGG